GGCCGUAGCCUAGUGGUUAAGGCGAUAGACUAGAAUUCUUUUGGGAUAUUCCCGCGUAGGUUCGAAUUCUGCCGGCGACG
RNAcentral lists this transfer RNA (80 nucleotides) under Dreissena polymorpha. Its description in RNAcentral is "tRNA-Ser". It matches the Rfam family "tRNA". From Rfam's summary of the family: Transfer RNA (tRNA) molecules are approximately 80 nucleotides in length. Their secondary structure includes four short double-helical elements and three loops (D, anti-codon, and T loops). The record is from RNAcentral. Lineage: Eukaryota; Metazoa; Mollusca; Bivalvia; Myida; Dreissenidae.